UCUUAAAAUAAUUAUAAGCGGUUGAUCAUAUUCAACACUGAAAGUAGAACGGUAGAACCAGAUCGAUCUUCAUGUAGAAAUAUUGAAGGUUGAGAAAGUAGGGUUAGAGUGAUAUAGUUUUGGCACAUGACGGGCAGGGCAAGGAAAAGGUGGAUGGAGCAAUGCCAGAGCACUCAGACAUAUACAAGAACUCCUACGUGUCCUCCACUUACAUCCCAAUCCAAUAUUCCACCUUUCGCUUUCACUUUGCCUUUGCUAGUCAUGGCUACUUUAUUUCUUCUUAAUUUUCUUAUAUUGGGGUUUAAUCCUUCCAGAAUAACUUAUUAAUUAGUACCACUUGCUUAUCAUACUCUUAAUGUGUCCACUUUUAUGAGAAGUUUUUCAGUACCCAAAAAUACGAUUUGAUACACUAAGUAUCAAAUAAGGGGUUGAAAUGUUUUUUUAAGUGCCAAACCAAUUGUAUUAUGACACAUAUAUAAUAAUGUGAUGUUUAAUGCCGUGCUUCGAACACGUUGAAAAACUCUCCAGUGCUGGUUCAUAUACAGUUGCAAAAAGAAAAUAAAAAUGUUAGAAAGACCAUCUUUUUAGAUUACAAGCAAAGAGUCCUUACGAUACUGUGGGUUUUAAAACUGUUAAACAGAUACUGUGGGUUUUAAAACUGUUAAACAUAAUAAAAACAGUUGGUGCAAAGUUGUAAUGAAUAGUUUGUAACGAACAGUUUCAUGACAUGUUCAUGUUUCGGUAAAUAAUAUUCACAUUAAUAAAGAACUUGGAAAAUGGUAUGGAGCUCCAACCGUUUACAUCUUCCCAUCUUGUUCUAAAAGUAAACACCACAUAUGGGUUGUUCCACUAGAUGAUAUCCAUUUAAUGGAAGGACAUAUAACAUACCCAAAAAAUAACAGUAGUGUUCCAAUGCUGCCAAAUCUGAGAUUGAUGAACUGAGUUCAAUAAAAUUUGUUUCACAAUGAUCUGAAGACAGCCCGCUCCCAAACCGCGCUACAAAUUCGCCAGAAAUCCAGCGACAACUCCGGAAUCCCAAACGGCAAAAGAAACAAAUACUAUGAAGUUUUGGCCCGCCAAUUGCAAGUUUAAGAACCCUAGAAACGAGUUUUAUGACUUUCCACAAAACUCCCAGAACCCUAGUUCUACAGCAAGCUUUACAGAGGAGCACAACUUCCCUCAAAACGGAGAGCGCAAACGAAAUCCCUU
Long non-coding RNA from Pyrus x bretschneideri (Chinese white pear), 1209 nucleotides. RefSeq lists it as uncharacterized. Lineage: Eukaryota; Viridiplantae; Streptophyta; Magnoliopsida; Rosales; Rosaceae. The transcript is spliced from 2 exons. The record is from RefSeq and is a predicted model, not a curated record.